Dorea sp. CAG:317 is the source of this 64-nucleotide non-coding RNA. NCBI's taxonomy places the organism in Bacteria, Bacillati, Bacillota, Clostridia, Lachnospirales, Lachnospiraceae. The record is from Rfam.
GGUCAGGUGAUCAGACCUAAAACAGUCGAUUCAUGGCGGAUGGUUACACGCCUAAAACAACCUA